This 71-nucleotide transfer RNA is filed under the name Penicillium decumbens. It matches the Rfam family "tRNA". Rfam says of the family: Transfer RNA (tRNA) molecules are approximately 80 nucleotides in length. Their secondary structure includes four short double-helical elements and three loops (D, anti-codon, and T loops). The record is from Rfam by way of RNAcentral. Lineage: Eukaryota; Fungi; Ascomycota; Eurotiomycetes; Eurotiales; Aspergillaceae. RNAcentral also lists the same sequence under 2 other names.
GUGGGUAUAGUUCAAUGGUAGAACAGCUGUAUGUGGAAUAGUAUAUCCUAGUUCGAUUCUAGGUACCCUCC